This 651-nucleotide ribosomal RNA is filed under the name Acarospora fuscata. RNAcentral describes it as "partial large subunit ribosomal RNA". It matches the Rfam family "Eukaryotic large subunit ribosomal RNA", at positions 431 to 1415 of the family's 3401-position model. Lineage: Eukaryota; Fungi; Ascomycota; Lecanoromycetes; Acarosporales; Acarosporaceae. The record is from RNAcentral.
AGACUUGCCCGCGGGUGAUCAACCGGUAUUCUUACCGGUGCACUCGCCCGUGGUCAGGCCAGCAUCGGUUUGGGCGGCUGGAUAAAGUCCACUGGAAUGUAGCUCCUCUCGGGGAGUGUUAUAGCCAGAGGUGCCAUGCAGCCCGCCCGGACCGAGGACCGCGCUUCGGCUAGGAUGCUGGCGUAAUGGUUGUAAGCGACCCGUCUUGAAACACGGACCAAGGAGUCUAACAUCUAUGCGAGUGUUUGGGUGUCAAACCCAUGCGCGUAAUGAAAGUGAACGGAGGUGGGAACCCUCAAGGGUGCACCAUCGACCGAUCCUGAUGUCUUCGGAUGGAUUUGAGUAAGAGCAUAGCUGUUGGGACCCGAAAGAUGGUGAACUAUGCCUGAAUAGGGUGAAGCCAGAGGAAACUCUGGUGGAGGCUCGCAGCGGUUCUGACGUGCAAAUCGAUCGUCAAAUUUGGGUAUAGGGGCGAAAGACUAAUCGAACCAUCUGCUACUAGAUGGCAUACGGGCCGCGUGCCCCAGUAGUCCCCGUGCGGCGGGGGCGACAUCGUCGGUCUCUUCGGGAACGCCUCCGGGCUACCCGCAGUGAGCCUCGGGCUCAUCCACAGACUAAGUGGCGGUGGCCGUGCCCUGGAGCACGGUUAGG